RNAcentral lists this ribosomal RNA (397 nucleotides) under uncultured bacterium. RNAcentral's name for it is "partial 16S ribosomal RNA". It matches the Rfam family "Bacterial small subunit ribosomal RNA", at positions 523 to 918 of the family's 1533-position model. The record is from RNAcentral.
AUACGUAGGGCGCGAGCGUUGUCCGGAAUUACUGGGUGUAAAGGGAGCGUAGGCGGGAGUGCAAGUCCGAUGUGAAAUACAUGGGCUCAACCCAUGGGCUGCAUUUGAAACUGCAUUUCUUGAGUGAAGUAGAGGUAAACGGAAUUCCUGGUGAAGCGGUGGAAUGCGCAGAGAUCAGGAGGAAUACCAAAGGCGAAGGCAGUCUUCCAAGCCGUUAUUGACGCUCAACUGCGAAGGUGUGGGUAUCAAACAGGAUUAGAUACCCUGGUAGUCCACACAGUAAACGAUGAUCACUAGGUGUCGGUUUCGUAAUAGGAUUCGGUGCCGUAGCUAACGCGUUAAGUGAUUCGCCUGGGGAGUACGAUCGCAAGGUUGAAACUCAAAUGAAUUGGCGGGG